CAGUAGCCGCGGUAAUACGUAGGGUGCAAGCGUUGUCCGGAAUUAUUGGGCGUAAAGAGCUCGUAGGCGGUUUGUCGCGUCUGCUGUGAAAUCCCGAGGCUCAACCUCGGGCUUGCAGUGGGUACGGGCAGACUAGAGUGCGGUAGGGGAGAUUGGAAUUCCUGGUGUAGCGGUGGAAUGCGCAGAUAUCAGGAGGAACACCGAUGGCGAAGGCAGAUCUCUGGGCCGUAACUGACGCUGAGGAGCGAAAGCGUGGGGAGCGAACAGGAUUAGAUACCCGCGUAGUCCCUGUCUCUUAUAC
RNAcentral lists this ribosomal RNA (301 nucleotides) under uncultured bacterium. Its description in RNAcentral is "partial 16S ribosomal RNA". It matches the Rfam family "Bacterial small subunit ribosomal RNA", at positions 509 to 807 of the family's 1533-position model. The record is from RNAcentral.